GUCGUGAGAGAAUACAGCAGCAACCCAGUGAAGAAAAGUGGUUUGAAACAUAUGCUGAGAAGUGGGUAGGCGCGUAGUUGGCCAUGUGGUGAUGAGAAUAAGGAUGCCGUGCAGCGUCCCAUACCAUUCAAAGUUGCAUAUAGUAGAAAGUCUCGAUUAUUUUGCUUACUAAAGAGCCUGUGAGAAAUACUAUUAUUUAAAUGCAUAUUUAAGUGAACCAUAAAGGGCACAAAAGGAAAGUUUGGAGCACCUGCGUAUCAUCUGAAGCGUGGGAUGUUUUAAAGAACUACAGGUAUACUGUCAGGAGUCUUCUCUUUAAUAAAGGAGCAAGAACAUCACAGAGCUUGAAUAACACAGACUAUAUUGUAUAUAAAAAAGAAUGAGAGAAAUUGAAAAAGGUGUUGUACCACGAGUAGGUAAAAUUUCUCUCACGCUGGGAAGCUUUAGCCAUUUUCUUUGCAUUUUGGUUCCCCUUCUGAACCAAAGAAAAGAUAAAAUUUAUUUUGACUCUGAAUAACAUUUAUGUGACAUAUGUCUAUGAACUAGAUCAAGACGGAAGUGAAAUGUCUACUUUCUAGUACGUUAUAAUUGAUAUAUAAUCUCAGAUCAUGGUUAGAGAUUCUCUAUUGCAAAGCCUUUGAUUUUUCCACAAAAUAUUCGCCUAAAGAGCAGCUGAUGCUCACCUAUAGCAUGUGAGCGGAAGAGAUGAUGUAGAAAAGAGAGAGAGAUGAUAUGAGAGAGAUCCUCGAAACAGGACGUGCGUCCUUGUGAGGAGAUCCUGCUUCCGGGUUCUCAUCUAUAUAUGUAUAUUAAAAAUUCACUAGAGAAAUAACCAAUAUGAUCUUGAAGAAGUACACCUGG
Long non-coding RNA from Chelonus insularis, 861 nucleotides. RefSeq lists it as uncharacterized. The record is from RefSeq and is a predicted model, not a curated record. NCBI's taxonomy places the organism in Eukaryota, Metazoa, Arthropoda, Insecta, Hymenoptera, Braconidae. The transcript is spliced from 2 exons.